AGCAUCAUGAAACAAAAAACAUGACAAAGGAGACCCUGAACUGUUGAGCAGCCGAAAUCCUCUAUCAGACAAGAACGGGACAACAAUUCACUUUAAAGUCCAGAAACUGAUCUCCUGGAUUCACCAACGUUUACAGAGUGUUGUUCAAAGAAGAGGUGAUGUAAGAUAAGCAUAAAGCAGUAAAAUCAGCCAAACUUCUCUUUGGUUCAGUGUUUAUUCAUGUCAAAAUAAAAACAGGAAAGGGAACAGACACUGAGUGAAAUAAUUCUGACUUAAAUAAGAAACUAUAGAAAUAAAAAACAAGACGAUGAAUCCGACCAAACUUUACUUUUGUUUGUGGUUUGUGUCCAGGUUCAUCCCUGGCUCUGCAAGCAUAUUGCACAUUUAUUCAUUUAGGGGCUGAACUACUCUGCGUUUCAACAGUUCCAGAGGCACCAUGAAAGGGUUGAGGGGUGGACAGACCCCCGUAAUUUCUGUGUCCUGAUUGGAUGGGGUGUUGCUCGCAGAUGAUUGGCUCUCAGCUUUGUGCGGCUGCUGUGUGACCUCCUCGCUUUGCUUGUCAGCUGGUUCGGCAGCAUUCUGCUGAGCGUUUGGUGUUCCCGUGUCCGGACCAGCCGGUGAGUCGGUCCGAGGAGGGAGUCUAUCCUGCAGGUCUUUGGCCAUCUUUGAGUGCGAGGAGGAGGAGAGACUCUGAUACACCUGAAGACAAGAGGAGGAGGAAACAAUCGUGUUAUAAAAUGUCAGCUGAGCAGUGAGAGUGUCGCAGAGACGGAUGCAAAGAGAGAGGGAGAUCACACAAGAAGAAACAUUUCCUUUAACCUGAAUUUAUUUCAUAAUUAACACAGCUUACCUGCAGCUAGCGACUUCUUCAGUUCACUGUAGCACCAUGCAAGGAAAUUCUUUUAACAAAUAACUGUACUGGACACAAUUUCAAAAUAAAAGCAUUUUGUGAAAACAA
Long non-coding RNA from Notolabrus celidotus (New Zealand spotty), 958 nucleotides. RefSeq lists it as uncharacterized. The transcript has 2 exons. NCBI's taxonomy places the organism in Eukaryota, Metazoa, Chordata, Actinopteri, Labriformes, Labridae. The record is from RefSeq and is a predicted model, not a curated record.